GGUAGAGUAUUUGGAACGUGUGAUUGCUAAUGAAGGAGCUUUGUCUACUAUCUUAGGCAUUAUCACUAAACAUUCUGGCAUGGCAUUCACCAAUAAUCCACUUCAAUUAACUUCAAAUAACUGUGAAGAAGGCAAGAAUGAUGAAAAUGAACCAAAAAGGAAGCGUCCAAAUGCAGCACAAUGGAUGCUUGAUGUCCUUGCACUUCCCGGAGUCAAGUAAUUCAUAGCAUAAAGAUGUUGGAAAUAUAUGUAAGUUGAUUGGUCCUCUUAAGUGAGGACCACAGGUAAACUUUAUGUUUGCUUUGUUUCUUCUCAUUGUUUCAAUGAUAAAUUUUUAAAUGUUCAAGUCUUUUAGUGUCGCUAUGAUGAACCUGGAUGAAAGUUGAAGUUAGUCAUCAUUCAUUUAAGUAAAGGAAAUAAAAAUUUUUCCCUGAAAAGAACAGAUACUACCAACUUGUGCGAUAUAUUUUAAGAAAAUAAAAAAAAAACCAAAAGUAAAGCAAGUGAUUUUCUUCAUACUAAACAUUGGACAACAAUCCAUGAAAUUUAACUAUCUUGAAAAUUAUGUUAAUAUUUUGUCUACCAUUCCCUGAACCAAUGUCUUUAGUAUAGGUCAAAUCUUUGGUGAUUAAUGUGUAUAUCAUCCACAUACCUGAAAGGUUUUUUUGAUAUUAAAAUAUACAUUUAAACUUGAAUUGAAAAA
Molecule: long non-coding RNA, 703 nt
Organism: Xenia sp. Carnegie-2017
Lineage: Eukaryota; Metazoa; Cnidaria; Anthozoa; Malacalcyonacea; Xeniidae
Exons: 2
Source: RefSeq, a predicted model, not a curated record